Molecule: non-coding RNA, 5810 nt
Organism: Phasianus colchicus (ring-necked pheasant)
Lineage: Eukaryota; Metazoa; Chordata; Aves; Galliformes; Phasianidae
Source: RefSeq, a predicted model, not a curated record
CCGUGCGCGCGCGUCAGCACCUGCGGCCGUUGGGCGCGCGCGCGGCCGUUGCUCCCUCAGGCGGCGCCGUGCCGCCGCGCGUUCCGCCGAGAGGUGGCCCUCGUGCGUUCGGAGCCGCGAGUGCAGCGCGGACCGGAGUGAACGGCUCCGGGAGGAGGAAGAGAAAGCGGGAAGAAAACGUGCGUCCUCCCAGGAACGGAGCGGGAGCGCAGACACUGCGAUUUCUUGGAGGUGGUGCUAUGGCAGAAUGGAGCAGCAGUCCUUGUUCUGCAGAGGAGACUGGAGACGCAUCAUCAGAACUGUGUGUAAAUGUGGCUCGGCUGUCCAGCUUCAACCAAGAGAAAGGCAAGUACCGAUUACAGAUUGCAUUAAAUGACAUUACUCAUAGUACUGCAUAGCAACUCAAACCAGACUGAUUUCUCACACAAAAAAAACAGCUUGAAUCUGACUAAACUGAACUCAGAGGGACCUUGUGGAGGUUAUCCAGCCCAGCUCCCAGCUCAGAGCAGCUACCUGCUGCUUGGUAACUUGUCUCGCUAAGUUCUGAAAGUCAACAGAGCUGGCAGUGUGCAUCAUCUCCGGGGAACUUCACUCAGAAUUCUCCCCCUGCAUCCCCUCUCUUCAAAAACAACGUCCCGUGCUGCUGCUACCUGUGACUGCUCUGUCCUGCGGCUCUGCUGUAACGCAGGACAAUGCUGCUCUCCGCAGAUCUGAAAUCCCACUUGUUACGAUGCUUUCACACAGUAUCCAAAUUGGCCAGGUUAUCAGGAAGCCUCUAAAACAAAGUUCAGAGCUCUAACCCUAAUCUGAAAGUUUCCAAUUCUCUGCAAAACAAAUUCUUUGUCUUACAUUUCUUUUGAGAAACCUUUUCAAGAAUUGUACACCAUUUUAACCACUAGAAAGAAAUGUGUUCAUAAAUAACUAAAUGAAUUUACAGCGACAUCCGCUAUUUAUUUGUUCAUAGAGCUUCAUAGCAAUGGGACUCUAUGAAGAAAAUUGGGAACAGGCUGUGGCAUGCCAGGAAACACUUCAAAGAUGCUCUUAAUAUAGCUCAAGCACCACAUCCAGCAGGUGAGCCGACCAGCCUAUGCAAGUCCUGUGCACGAAGCUCUUGGAUCUCCUUGUCAAUGCCUCAAAAACCUGCAGUGGGGACAGCGAUCUCUGGAACAGUAAUAAGCUUUCAGAGCACUCUGUAGUCCCCGCAAAAAGCAUGGCAGAUGAUAUAUAUGUCCCAAAUGACUGGUUUUACUUUGCAAAGUUCCUAGAAGUGUUUAAUCUCCUCUACGUUGUUUCUUUCAACUAGAAAUAAAAUGGAGACCUAGAUUAACAUUUCCAACUUAGAAGUUCAAUGAUUCAUCUGUUUUCUAACAAUUUUGUUUACGGUGCCUGAGGUAACAACAGAAGUACCACCAAAGAUCACUACAGGAGGUGGUGGAAGUUUUAUGAUGUUAGUUUGAUGUUUGUCUUAAUGAGACCAAACCCUUUGACGAUCUACAACUGCAAGACUUUGAAGACUUCCCUGUAGCUCCCCACUGGCUGGUUAUCUGCGUGCACUGUGUGCAUGGAUUCAUCACAUGCAGGCUGUGUGGAUAUGAAUGCCAAGAGGCAUUGGCACAAACUUUCAGCACUCUCCUAACUUCACUAAAUUAUUCUCUGCUGUCCUUGUCAUUAUCCUAGAGUCAAAAUGAAUUCUACAGUCAAUACAAUUCUCACACUACUUAUUCCAGUUAGCCAAAGCUGCUAUUGGAACUGGGCAAAUAUGACUUUGAUUGGCUUAGAAGUAUUAAUGAGGGCAUUACCAAGUCCACUGCAAACUUUAAGAAGCCAUUUAAAGGAAAAGAGCACCCAGGUUUCAUCAUUUAUAUACCAGCUGUCAUGUUUAGGUUCACGGCUUCAGAAAGACAAUCUCUUUCCACCUCAGUCUUCACUCAAAUUCUUCUUCUCCAAAUUGCAUCUAAUACAGCAGAGUCAAAGAGCAAAUUAUGUCACCUGACCCAGAAGCUAAGAGUACACUGUUGUAUUAUAUUUGGUGACAGUGAACCAAAGUCGGCGUUUGAACAGUAGUUCUACUGCUCACACCCCAUGCAGUAUGCAGUGACCUGACUUUUUAUAUAGUAGUGACAAAAGGUCAGAAUGUGAAUGCAGUUAUAUCAUCCAUAAUAGAUUUACACCCCAAAGCAUCUUCCCAAGAACUGCUAUACUUUUUUUCACAGAUACAGUAAUAAUAAGAGAAUGCUUAAAUCCAAAUGUUUAAGCUUAAGGUAAAAAAUAAACAGCAAAACAAAAAGCUCUCACAUAUCCCAACUUCCUGAACACUGGAAAUUAAGCAUGAAGAUAUAUAUCGCAAAGAGAAUAUUUUGGCUUCAAAAACAAAACAAUACUCUUUGCAGAAGAAAAUCCAACCUUUUUACUUCUCAGAUCAAGAAUGCUUCUAAGAUGCUCACCAGCAUCCCAGCUAACAAAGCAAGACCUCAGGAAGGGAUAUCACUUAUUGCUUUUUUAUGAGUACACAACAAAGAUAAUAAGUAAAUCCAACUUAAUCCCUGGAUCAACAUCCAUACUCUAAAAUAACCAGAAGAAGUAUGUUAUUAGUAGGGUGCCUGAAGACUCUGAUGUUCUAAACAGUUCAGUGCUGUAAUCCACAGCCCAUGCCCUCACAAUUUCUCAUGAACUCCAAGACGAACAUGAACUGGAAUUCCAUUUUCCAUACUGAAAUUAGCUAAAGUCCAAUAGUGCAGAAACUUUAGGUCAGGAGAGUUUAAGUUGCCUAAAGCCACUUUCAAAGAAGUCUUAUCUGUUAAACUAUUGUAUGUUUCAAUAUUUCAUUCUCUACAAAGCUGCUUGAUAAAAAAUAAAUAAGAGAGACCAACUGUAGAAUUGUUUGCUGUAGAGUUCGGCAUCGAUUGCUAAACUUAACAGCUUUAACAUCCUUAUAUCUGCUAUUUUUUAGUAUUAUCUCUAAUUACAAUUUCAAAUGAAAAAAGUCACUAAACCUUCUCCUUGUAAAACAAUCACUGUUCUCAUGUCCCUCCAUAUUAAAUGAAAAAGAAGAGUCCUCCCCUUACUCAGAACUGGCAGCAUCCAAGAAUAAGCUGGUACGGAAAGAAACAUAGCGGCCUUCAGAAAUACGUAAAAACUUAAGACCUGCUCAACAGAAAGUUAAUAAAUACAGAGAAAAAAGCCUCUCGUAUUCAAAGACUGCAAAGGUGCAGUCCAAAAACUGAGAAAGCCUGACUGCAACAAUUUCAUUCAUUCAGUUAAGACUGAACAUUUUCAGAGAUCUUAUGGAAAAUAUUUAUGCAGUUGUAGUGAAAGUAAUAACUCAGGAAUUCAUGUAACUCAUAUGAUGUGAGUAAAAGAUAGUUUGUAAACUGCUCUUCAUGGUAAAGAACACAGUAUUUCUACAUUACAAGGAAAACACUGCUAAUGGAUUUUAACAUAGAAGUGCAACAACGCCUUAUUCUUAAAAAACGAAAGGGAUAACCCUUAGUAAGAGCUGUUUAACCAGCUGGAACAUCUGCUUCAAAUGUUAAAAUAAUUUAAACUCCAACCGUUGACCAGGUAGGUCUGAUAACAGUCACCAAACAUGGUUGCUUCUGUUAUAACCACCAGCUGCAACUGUGCCGACUGACAGAGUCACCGGUCGGUCAGAUGAUGUCCACCGUCCUACUUCUGGUUUACUAUGACCUUGCCUGGACUACUGGGACAGCCAGAAAAACCCUUACAGCACAGGCUGAAACAUUUCUAAAUAUUAUUUUCUAAUAUCCUUCUGCAUAAUGCAGAAAAAGCUCUUAUGAAGCACUGCAAAAACACAUCAGAACUAGAGUAACACACAGCUUACCAGCUCCUAAGUCUGAAAACAUUUCAAGCUGUAAUUUCUCUCCUACAUAGUAAUUUACAUUUUAUUUGUAUAUUAGACAUUUUGUUCUUCAACAGCACAAUAAAAAUGCAAUUACUUUAGCAUUCCUUCUGAUAGCUGAGACAUUUCUAUCAUCUAACAGUCACUGAAGUUCAUUUAUCAAAGUGUUUCUAAACACUGGCUAAAGCAGUUCACCAACACCGAAACACACCAAGUGCUUAAUCAUUAAUAAAUCAGUAAAAAAAAAAAGCUGAAAAAUCUAAUGCCUCUCCUUCCUCAAAGACAUAUUUUUGAAUUCCAUUAAAAGAUAUUUUUGCAAAAGCAAACAAAAAAAAUCCCAGACCCUACACUAUACUAUACUCUAUUUUUUUAGAGACCCUGUUAGAAAAUUACUGAUAAUCUGAUCAAAACAACAUAUCCACUAAGUAUUAUUUAUUAAGAUAUUAUUUCCAUAGCCCAGGUUUUUCUUCAAAUUUUAAUUCCAUUAUUUCUUUUCUGGCAACAGAUCGCAGUUCUUGGCUUCUGUGGAUUGUUUCAAUACUCCCUUUCCUUCUCAAUUCCUCUUCCCACAUUCACUAGUUUUUUCCAUCUGCCAUGUAUCAGGAAAUCACUUCUCCUACUGUCCCUAUCCCAACUUUCACUUUACCCAUCAAAUGUUCUCCAUGUACUUUUCCUGUUGUAUCUUUUCUUCCCUUGACUGUUGCCUCAAAGAGAUGUUCCCAAUCUGCCAUAACAUCUAGAUGGUGAGUCUCUUGACUACAUCCACUUACUGCUACAGAACUUCAUCUUUUGGACUACAUUCUGGCCCCGCUACUGCCCAAAAUAUUUAAGAAACAGUAAAUUUAGAAAUGUUAAUCAGUCUGUUUUAGUCUGAAAAGAAAAAAAAGAAUGGUACGUAUUGUACAGCGCUUUAUCCAUCCUCGUUUUCAGAUUUCUAGUUUCUCCCUGUCUUGCCCACAUCUGCUUCUGCUCAGAACGUUCUCAGUGCGGAGAAAGAUGUGCUGCUGACUGCUGUAGAUUGUUACCACCAACAUUUCAACACUUCCCAGAGUCCACCUUCCUGUUUUUCCAGUUCUGUGCAAAUGACUUUUUAAAACCAGGCCUGUUUUACAGGACCUGGUAAGAAAGCAGUCAAAUAAAUGGUUAAGCUGGUAAAAUUGAGGAAGGGUGGAACAUCUGGCAGAGGAAGGAGGGAGUCAUUAACCACUCAACUCAGAUCUGCCGCAGCCAGAACAGCUCAGCUUGUCUCACCAGGCUGAUCCGUGUGCAGGAGAAAUCACCAGUUACACUGCAUUAUUCACAAAAGCAGAGAAAGAUGGCUGAAACCAUCUACAGAUGUAGAGCGAUUCUCUGAAGCUUGUUUCAUAUUGGAAGAUUUUUAAUUCCUGUAGCCACAUGGGUGGUUUACAUGUUGCACGAACUGACUGCAUUUGCUCACUUUUAUAAACUGACAGCAUUUGCAGCUCACAGUAUAACUGCUGCUAAACUGACACAGAUGCAAAGAAGAAUUAAUGUAAAUAACCCAUACAAAUUGAGAAACAACCAAGACUGAGCAGUAAGUAAUGACUUGUCAUUAAUUAUUUACCUGAAACAAGGUGACCGUUACCACUACAAAUAGGUUAUUAAAAUCCUUUUGCUGAACAGAAACCCCUGAUGAAAUUGCAGCAUGUGAUACAUUAACCUACAAAACAGUUUUCAGUCAUUCCCAUGAUGUCACAUAGUUGUGUGAUGUUGUAACUAUAUUCAGUAUUCACCUAAAAUGUAUCAGCUGAACUCCAGAAACACUGGACUUUUUUGCAGAAGUAAAAGCAAGGCCCAAACCCACUUCUUACUGCUUGGCUUUGCUUUAGGACCAAUUUCUCACUAUUUCAUGAUAGUGAGUAUUGUUAUCACAUUCAUCCCUUGUGUCACACCACGAGGGCAUUCCUUCUGAUAAUCUGGUUUAAGUUAU